GACAUUUUUAGAAGAGAAACAGCGAUGGAAAACCAGAACCCUUCUCUUCUGCAGCCAUGCUUUGAGAGAGGAAAUGGAAAAGAUCACAGCAAGAUCCCACCAGGCUGCUCCACAGUUCCAAUGGCUGGAGGACAAGCCCUCCUCACCAAAAUAACCACCUGAAAAAUCAUUCGACCAGGAAAUGCUCACUGCACCCAAAUACAAUAAGAAGUCCAACAAAAAGCAGUCAAGAUAUUAAAGUGGUUAAGAUAUUAAUCAAUUUUCCAAUUAUUUUAAA
Molecule: long non-coding RNA, 277 nt
Organism: Oenanthe melanoleuca
Lineage: Eukaryota; Metazoa; Chordata; Aves; Passeriformes; Muscicapidae
Exons: 3
Source: RefSeq, a predicted model, not a curated record